RNAcentral lists this ribosomal RNA (6643 nucleotides) under Plenodomus lingam JN3. RNAcentral describes it as "28S_rRNA". The stretch from base 307 to 3659 matches the Rfam family "Eukaryotic large subunit ribosomal RNA". The record is from RNAcentral. Lineage: Eukaryota; Fungi; Ascomycota; Dothideomycetes; Pleosporales; Leptosphaeriaceae.
ACUUUUAAUAAUAGAUCUCUUAGUUCUAGCAUUAAUAAAGAACGCAGCGAAAUGCGAUAAGUAGUGUAAAUUAUAGAAUUUAGUAAAUUAUUAAAUCUUUAAACGCACAUUGCGCCCCUUAGUAUUCUAUAGGGCAUACCUAUUCAAGCGUUAUUUAUACCCUUAAGCUCUACUUAGUGUUAGGUGUUUGUUCUACUUAGGACUUGCCUUAAAAUAAUUGGCAGCCAGUAUAUUAGCCUAGAGCGCAGCACAUUUUGCGCCUCUUAUUAUAGUUAUUAGCAUCUAUUAAGACACUUUUUAAGCUCUUAACCUUAGAUUAGGUAGGGAUACCUGCUAAACUUAAGCAUAUUAAUAAGCGGAGGAAAAGAAACUAAUAGGGAUUGCCCUAGUAACGGCGAGUAAAGCGGCAACAGCUUAAAUUUAAAAUCUAGCUCUUUUAGGGUCUAAGUUAUAAUUUGCAGAGGGCGCUUUAGCGUUAGUAGCAGUCUAAGUUCCUUAGAAUAGGACGUUAUAGAGGGUAAGAAUCCUGUACGUGGUCGCUAGCCUUUACUAUAUAAAGCCCCUUUAACAAGUUAAGUUAUUUAGGAAUAUAGCUCUAAAUAGGAGGUAAAUUUCUUCUAAAGCUAAAUACUAGCUAGAGACUAAUAGCGUAUAAGUAGAGUAAUUAAAAGAUAAAAAGCACUUUAGAAAGAGAGUUAAAUAGCACGUGAAAUUAUUAAAAGGGAAGCGCUUGCAGCUAGACUUGCCUGUAGUUACUUAUCUAGGCUUUUGUCUAGUGCACUCUUCUAUAGGCAGGCUAGCAUUAGUUUAGGCAGUUAGAUAAAGGUCUCUAUCACGUACCUCCCUUUAGGGAGGCCUUAUAGGGGAGACAAUAUGCAACUAGCCUAGACUAAGGUCCGCGUAUCUACUAGGAUGCUGGCGUAAUAGCUAUAAGCGGCCCAUCUUAAAACAUAGACUAAGGAGUCUAACAUCUAUACAAGUGUUUAGGUGUUAAGCCUAGACGCGUAAUAAAAGUAAACAGAGGUAGGAACCCUUUUAGGGUGCACUAUUAACUAAUCCUAAUGUCUUUAGAAGGAUUUAAGUAAGAGCAUAGCUAUUAGGACCUAAAAGAUAGUAAACUAUGCUUAAAUAGGGUAAAGCUAGAGGAAACUCUAGUAGAGGCUCGCAGCAGUUCUAACGUGCAAAUUAAUUGUUAAAUUUAGGCAUAGGGGCAAAAGACUAAUUAAACUAUCUAGUAGCUAGUUCCUGCUAAAGUUUCCCUUAGGAUAGCAGUAACGUAUUUAGUUUUAUAAGGUAAAGCGAAUAAUUAGAGGCCUAGGGGUUAAAAUAACCUUUACCUAUUCUUAAACUUUAAAUAUAUAAGAAGUCCUUAUUACUUAAUUAAACGUAGACACUUAAAUGUACUGUUACUAGUGGGCUAUUUUUAGUAAGCAGAACUAGUAAUACAGGAUAAACUAAACGCGGGGUUAAGGUGCUAGAAUGCACGCUUAUUAGAUACUACAAAAGGUGUUAGUUUAUCUAGAUAGUAGGAUAGUAGCUAUAGAAGUUAGAAUCUGCUAAGGAGUGUGUAAUAACUUACCUGCUAAAUAAACUAGCCCUAAAAAUAGAUAGCGCUUAAGCGUGUUACCUAUACCCCGCCGCUAGGGCAAGAUUUAAGCCCUAGCGAGUAGGCAGGUGUGGAGGCUUGUAACAAAGCCUUAGGGGUAACCCUAGGUAGAAUAGCCUCUAGUGCAGAUCUUAGUAGUAGUAGCAAAUACUUAAAUAAGAACUUUAAGGACUAAAGUAGGGAAAGGUUCAGUGUAAAUAGCAGUUAGAUAUAGGUUAGUUAAUCCUAAGAGAUAGGGUAAUUCUAUUUUAAUAUUAGUGCUUGCGCCGCGCCCUUAAAAGGGAAGCUAGUUAAUAUUCUAGCACCUAGAUGUAGAUUCUCCGCAGCAACGUAACUAAGAGUAGAGACCUUAGCAGGAGCCCUAAGAAGAGUUCUCUUUUCUUCUUAACAGUCUGUCACCCUAAAAUUAGUUUGUCUAGAGCUAGGGUUUAAUAGCUAGAAGAGCGCUGCACUUUUGCAGCAUUUAGUGCGCUCCUAACAAGCCUUAAAAAUCUACUUAAAGAAAUAGUUUUUACGCUAGGUUAUACUUAUAACCGCAGCAGGUCUCUAAGGUAUAUAAAGCCUCGUGAGUUAAUAGAAUAAUAUAGAUAAGGGAAGUUAGCAAAAUAGAUCUAUAACUUUAGGAAAAGGAUUAGCUCUAAGGGUUAGGUACGUUAGGCCUUAGGGAGAAGCCUCUAGCGUAGAAGGGCACUAACCAUAAGGUAGGCGCCUCUUAGCGCUAGGGUGCAGACACCCUUAGCAGGUUUUAGCUAUCUAGCGUACGUUUAACAACUAACUUAGAACUAGUAUAGAUAAGGGGAAUCUAACUAUCUAAUUAAAACAUAGUAUUGUAAUAGCUAGAAAGUAGUGUUAACGCAAUGUGAUUUCUGCCUAGUGCUCUAAAUAUUAAAGCAAAGAGAUUUAACCAAGCGCGGGUAAAUAGCAGAAGUAACUAUAACUCUCUUAAGGUAGCUAAAUGCCUUGUUAUCUAAUUAGUAACGCGCAUAAAUAGAUUAACGAGAUUCCUACUAUCCCUAUCUACUAUCUAGCAAAACCAUAGCUAAGGGAACAGGCUUAGCUAAAUUAGCAGGGAAAGAAGACCCUGUUAAGCUUGACUCUAGUUUAACAUUAUGAAAAGAUAUAGGGGGUGUAGAAUAGGUAGGAGCUUUAGCGCUAGUAAAAUACUACUACCCUUAUUGUUUUUUUACUUAUUUAAUAAAGCGGAGCUAGGCCUUACCACCUAACUUCUAGCGUUUAAGGUCCUUUAUAGGCUAAUCUAGGUUAAAGAUAUUAUUAGGUAGGGAGUUUAGCUAGGGCGGCAUAUCUAUUAAACUAUAACGCAGGUGUCCUAAGGGGGACUUAUAGAGAAUAGAAAUCUCUAGUAGAGCAAAAGGGUAAAAGUCCCCUUGAUUUUAAUUUUUAGUGUGAAUACAAACUAUAAAAGUGUGGCCUAUUAAUCCUUUAGUCCCUUAAAAUUUAAGGCUAGAGGUGCUAGAAAAGUUACUACAGGGAUAACUGGCUUGUGGUAGCUAAGCGUUUAUAGCGACGUUACUUUUUAAUCCUUUAAUAUUAGCUCUUCCUAUUAUACUAAAGUAGAAUUUAGUAAGCGUUAGAUUAUUCACCUACUAAUAGGGAACGUAAGCUAGGUUUAGACUGUUAUAAGAUAGGUUAGUUUUACCCUACUAAUAACCUUGCCUUAAUAGUAAUACUGCUUAGUACAAGAGGAACCGCGGUUUUAGAUAAUUAGUUUUUGCGGCUAUCUAACUAGGCAUUGCUGUAAAGCUACUAUCUGCUAGAUUAUGGCUAAACGCCUCUAAGUUAGAAUCUAUGCUAGAAUAGGGUGAUUUCUGCCUGCACUAGUUAGAUACAAAUAGGCCUUUAGCCUAGAACCUUACUAGAUUAGCGUUGGCAGCCCUAUUAAAGUUAGAGUUGUUAGCUAGUGUAUUGUAAUUGUAUAGUGCGUAGGAUUAAAUCCUUUAUAGAUAACUUAGUUGUCUAGCUAGGUUGUGUAAGUAGUUAAGUAGCCUUGUUGUUACGAGCUACUAAGCGUAAGCCUGUUGCUAGCUUGGUUAAAAUUAGGAUAUUAUACCCUCCUUAUUUGCAAAACUGCUGCCUAAAUAGCUACUAUUAAUAGAAGGAAGAGGGCUAUAGCUAACAUGUUAUAUAGCAAUUGCAAGAUAGCGAGGGCUAGAGCUAGAAGUAAUCCUUACAAAAUAUACAAAAGAACAGGUUGUGUGUGUACGUACCUUAGGCAGUUAAAUUAUAGUAUAUAAAGAUUAAGAAAGGAUAUAAAAUAAUCUAUAUAUAUUUGUAGGUGGUGUUCUAUAACUUAGGGCGUUCUAUAACUUUUUACUUCUUAGGGGUAGUGUUCUAUAACUUAGGGCGUUCUAUACUUAAAAAAUCUUAUAGGCUAUUCUAUAACUAUAGAUUAUUCUAAACCUUUAGGGCAUUCUAUUAAUGUUUUAAAAAAUCUAGUAGGCUAUUUUAUAAGCUUAUAGCGUUCUAUAACUUUAGGGCGUUCUAUAACUUUAGGGCGUUCUAUAACUUAGGGCGUUCUAUAACUUUUUACUUCUUAGGGGUAGUGUUCUAUAACUUAGGGCGUUCUAUAACCCUUUAUUUUUUAGGGGUAGUGUUCUAUAACUUAGGGCGUUCUAUACUUAAAAAAUCUUAUAGGCUAUUCUAUAACUAUAGAUUAUUCUAAACCUUUAGGGCAUUCUAUUAAUGUUUUAAAAAAUCUAGUAGGCUAUUUUAUAAGCUUAUAGCGUUCUAUAACUUUAGGGCGUUCUAUAACUUAGGGCGUUCUAUAACUUAGGGCGUUCUAUAACUUUUUACUUCUUAGGGGUAGUGUUCUAUAACUUAGGGCGUUCUAUAACCCUUUAUUUUUUAGGUGGUGUUCUAUAACUUAGGGCGUUCUAUAACUUUUUAUUUUUAGGGGUAGUGUUCUAUAACUUAGGGCGUUCUAUAACCUUUUAUUUUUUAGGGGUAGUGUUCUAUAACUUAGGGCGUUCUAUAACUUUUUAUUUUUAGGGGUAGUGUUCUAUAACUUAGGGCGUUCUAUACUUAAAAAAUCUUAUAGGCUAUUCUAUAACUAUAGAUUAUUCUAAACCUUUAGGGCAUUCUAUUAAUGUUUUAAAAAAUCUAGUAGGCUAUUUUAUAAGCUUAUAGCGUUCUAUAACUUUAGGGCGUUCUAUAACUUAGGGCGUUCUAUAACCUUUUACUUCUUAGGGGUAGUGUUCUAUAACUUAGGGCGUUCUAUAAGCUUUUAUUUUUUAGGGGUAGUGUUCUAUAACUUAGGGCGUUCUAUAACUUUUUAUUUUUAGGGGUAGUGUUCUAUAACUUAGGGCGUUCUAUAACCUUUUAUUUUUUAGGGGUAGUGUUCUAUAACUUAGGGCGUUCUAUAACUUUUUAUUUUUAGGGGUAGUGUUCUAUAACUUAGGGCGUUCUAUACCUUUUGUUUAUUCUAUUACUUUAGUGCUUUCUAUAACUUUAGACUAUUCUAUAAUAGUAGCUAUUAUAUCCUUUUUAUAAUCCUUAUAGUAUUAUACUAUUAUCUAUUAUUCUUUACUCUUAAGUAUAUCCUUAUAUUUUAUAAAUCUUUUUCUUUACUAGCUAGUCCUACUAUACUUUUUUAUAACCUACUAGUAUUAAAUAAUACCUUUAUAUUCUUCCUCUAUACUAUCUCUAUUUCUUGCCUUAUAUAUUAAGUAGAUAUAGAUAGAGCUAAUAGAUCUAUAGUUAAUAUAGAUAAAGUAGUUAUAGUAGAGUAUAGAUAUUAGAGUAGAGAUCCUUAUCUAUAUAUUUACCUUCUACUAAUAGAAUUCUAAGUUGCUCUUAUCUAGCGAAUACAGGUUUAUAGUUUGUAUAGGGCUGCGCAUGUCUACACAGUUUUAUAUACAAAAAAGUGUACCUCUAAGCUAUUUUCUACUACACUAACCCUGCGACGCAAAAAUUAAACUAAAACCUAUUCCUAUAAUAUAUAAGGAGGGCAAAUAGAUUCUUAAAUACUAAAUACUUAACUAACUAACUAAGGUUAAAUCUGCUGCGCGCAGUUCUUGGAUUAGGCAGUUAAACUAGCGUUGUUAGGUACUAAGGGGGCAAUUUUUGCUUGUGUCCGCGUCUAUACUCCCUAUAACUCCCUAUUGUUAGCGCUCUGCGCCUGUUUUAGUAGUAGUUAGACUAAAUUUAAAAGUUUUAGUUUUAUAAUAGCUAGCCUUGUUUCCUAGAUUUCUGCCUAGUUUAGAUUUGCUCUAAUUAGUAGGUAAUUAGGGGCUUAGAGAUUGCUCUUCUACUUAACUAGGCAGGCCUAGGCCUAUAUGCUAAGGCAACCCUACUAUUACGCCUAGUUUUAUAGUUAGCACCUAAAGUCCUACUAUUAAAGUUUUAGUAGUAAGCAAAAUUUAGGGUCUAUAGAUAGCUAGCACUGCUAAACUAUUUAAUAGAUCUUAGGGGACAGCCCUGCCUAGCAUCUACUCCUAGUAAGUGUGGCAAAGCGUAGGUUUUCUCUACUUAAGGCAUGUAUAUAGCGAGUUUAAACACGCAGAAAUACCUAUUAGGCUUUAUUGUAGACUAUUCCUUAAGAAACUUAGUAGGGGUAAUUAAAUUAGUUGCUAGUUAUAACUAGUGCCUUAUAUGCUAUUAUACUAGUAGCUAGAAUUGCUUCUGCGAUUUCUUAUUACUUACUUUCUACCUUCUUUUAGGGGUAGUGCUUGUGCGCUUUAGCGUAUUAGGUAUUAGGAUUAUUACCUAGUUAAUUCUGCUAGUAGUUAUAUACUUAUCUUAAAGAUUAAGCUAUAUAUAUCUAACUAUAAGUAAUUAUACUAUAAAACUACAAAUGGCUUAUUAAAUUAGUUAUUGUUUAUUUAAUAGUACCUUACUACUUAGAUAACUAUAGUAAUUCUAGAGCUAAUAUAUGCUAAAAACCCUAACUUUAGAAGGGGUGUAUUUAUUAGAUAAAAAACUAACGCCCUUUAGGGCUUCUUAGUAAUUUAUAAUAACUUUACAGAUCGCAUGGCCUUGCGCUAGCAAUGGUUUAUUCAAAUUUCUGCCCUAUUAACUUUU